This 850-nucleotide small RNA is filed under the name Pongo abelii (Sumatran orangutan). RNAcentral describes it as "retained intron". Lineage: Eukaryota; Metazoa; Chordata; Mammalia; Primates; Hominidae. The record is from RNAcentral.
GAAAUCGCGACUAUGGGAGCUCCCGGGGGAAAGAUCAACCGGCCCCGAACGGUGACUGUGUGGGGGCCGCGACUUUGUUUCCUCAAGCGUCCCCGAGCCCUUUUAUCUCGCACGAGAUGGGAUCAGUGGGGGGCCGGGGCUGCCUGGUGGAGGGGUCCCGGGUCGCGGCGAGCCCACUCCAUCUGAUUCGCAUCUUUCUCCCCGGCAGGAGCUGAAGAAGAAGCUGUUCAAACGCCGGCGGGUGUUGAAUCGGGAGCGGCGUCUGAGGCACCGGGUGGUCGGGGCUGUAAUAGACCAAGGGCUGAUCACGCGGCACCACCUCAAGAAGCGGGCGUCCAGUGCACGUGCCAACAUUACUCUGUCAGGGAAGAAGCGCAGAAAACUCCUCCAGCAGAUCCGGCUUGCCCAGAAAGAGAAGGCAGCCAUGGAAGGUGAGGCUGGGACAGAGGUGGCUGAGGGGAAUCCUGGAUUUAUUUGGGUUAAUACUUCCUUCUUCCCUUUACUCAGUGGAAGCCCCUUCAAAGCCAGCCAGGACUAGUGAAUCACAGCUCAAAAGGCAAAAGAAGACAAAAGCCCCCCAGGAUGUAGAAAUGAAGGACCUUGAAGAUGAGAGCUAAACCUCUUCCACUAGAAGAUUCUCAACUGGAGCCAGCCUUCAGACUCAGUGGUUGUUUCAGAGGACUUUGACAAAAGCAAUGCCCCUUUUCACUCUCCAGAUUUCCUCCUACCUAAUGGCCUACUGAUUUCCCCUAGAGGGAUGUCUUUGGGAGGGAAGAAGGUACAGAAGAAAGACUGGAGAAGGGCCUCUUUAGCAGUCAACUCCAUUUGUAAUAAAGCCCUAACACUCUGA